UACGGGGGGGGCAAGCGUUGUUCGGAAUUACUGGGCGUAAAGGGCUCGUAGGCGGCCAACUAAGUCAGACGUGAAAUCCCUCGGCUUAACCGGGGAACUGCAUCUGAUACUGGAUGGCUUGAGUUCGGGAGAGGGAUGCGGAAUUCCAGGUGUAGCGGUGAAAUGCGUAGAUAUCUGGAGGAACACCGGUGGCGAAGGCGGCGUCCUGGACCGACACUGACGCUGAGGAGCGAAAGCCAGGGGAGCAAACGGG
RNAcentral lists this ribosomal RNA (253 nucleotides) under uncultured bacterium. RNAcentral's name for it is "partial 16S ribosomal RNA". It matches the Rfam family "Bacterial small subunit ribosomal RNA", at positions 524 to 776 of the family's 1533-position model. The record is from RNAcentral.